RNAcentral lists this long non-coding RNA (1113 nucleotides) under Monodelphis domestica (gray short-tailed opossum). RNAcentral describes it as "lncRNA (ENSMODG00000032080.2)". The record is from RNAcentral. Lineage: Eukaryota; Metazoa; Chordata; Mammalia; Didelphimorphia; Didelphidae.
UUUUUCUUUGACUUUGUCUCUGACUGGGUGAACACUCACUCUCUCCCUGGAGGUUUGAAGCUGGCUGAGAGACCUUUGUGAGGCUGACUUGACUUUUGGGACUUGGUCUCUGUCUCUCUGUCUCUGAGCAAUGGAAGCUGAUCAGGGAGAAGCUUUGAGUUGGUGGUCUAUAAGAGAGUUGAGCUGGCCAGGAGAAAAGGAGAGACUUUGAACUUUGUUUCUUUCUGGGGUUAAGCUGAGAGACCUUACUGAUUUUUUUGUGAAGAAGAAGAAAAAAGAUUUUGAGAUGCUGUCCUCCAUCUUUAUAACAGUCUAAGAGUCACACUUGUGACUCCCCAAACCAUCAAUUUUAUUUCAUUUAGAUUAGGGAAAUUCCUCAUCCCUCUUACCUCAGUUUCCCAUCCUAUUAUCCCAAUAAACCCCUUGACUGAGAAAGCAACUAGAGUAUCAUUAUAGUUCAACUCAGGAUGGAGGGAAGGAGCCAGAGGCUUCAAGGAAGAUUGGGGAGGUGAGGGAGGCAAGGGAGGGAGUGAGGGAGGAAGGAGGUUAGGAAAUAGGUUAAUCCAUCCAUCCAUCCAUCCAUCAUCAAUAGGGAUCAAUAGGCAAACCCCAGAGCAAAUCCCAGAGCAGUCCCUUAUAAUAUAAGUCCCUUAUAUAUAAAUAGUCCCCUAUAUACCAGCAUCCCUGUGUGUGGCAUCCUUCCAUUACAAAUAAGCAGCUUCAGGUCCCUGUAGCAGCCUCUCAAGUCAAAGCCAGAGAACAACAGUCAUUGUGAAGAAGCCAGUUCCCCUCAGUUUCCCUUCUCCAUUUCAACAAGUAACAGUUUACACUCAGUUUACUCUUUAUUUCAAGAUCCAAGGUUCAAGGUUCCUACAUUUAAGAGCUAUGCUGGUGGUCUGGAGUACCCGGUGGACUUUCCUCAAGGUCAAGGAUAACUGAAACCUUUGAAAAUGAAACAGCAGAGAAGAAGAACUUACUCUAUUGUAUUUUAGAGGGGGGAAAAUCAGUGCAACUGAUCAAUAUGUUGAAAAAGUCCAAAAUCAUAUGCACAAUAUAUAUGUAACACCUCAUCUUUAAAAUUUGAAUUCUGCUUGAUUUUUAUAAUUUUGUUAC